Molecule: ribosomal RNA, 2563 nt
Filed under: Escherichia coli
Lineage: Bacteria; Pseudomonadati; Pseudomonadota; Gammaproteobacteria; Enterobacterales; Enterobacteriaceae
Description: partial 23S ribosomal RNA
Rfam family: Bacterial large subunit ribosomal RNA
Source: RNAcentral
CUGUGAGCUCGAUGAGUAGGGCGGGACACGUGGUAUCCUGUCUGAAUAUGGGGGGACCAUCCUCCAAGGCUAAAUACUCCUGACUGACCGAUAGUGAACCAGUACCGUGAGGGAAAGGCGAAAAGAACCCCGGCGAGGGGAGUGAAAAAGAACCUGAAACCGUGUACGUACAAGCAGUGGGAGCACAGAGCAAUCUGUGUGACUGCGUACCUUUUGUAUAAUGGGUCAGCGACUUAUAUUCUGUAGCAAGGUUAACCGAAUAGGGGAGCCGAAGGGAAACCGAGUCUUAACUGGGCGUUAAGUUGCAGGGUAUAGACCCGAAACCCGGUGAUCUAGCCAUGGGCAGGUUGAAGGUUGGGUAACACUAACUGGAGGACCGAACCGACUAAUGUUGAAAAAUUAGCGGAUGACUUGUGGCUGGGGGUGAAAGGCCAAUCAAACCGGGAGAUAGCUGGUUCUCCCCGAAAGCUAUUUAGGUAGCGCCUCGUGAAUUCAUCUCCGGGGGUAGAGCACUGUUUCGGCAAGGGGGUCAUCCCGACUUACCAACCCGAUGCAAACUGCGAAUACCGGAGAAUGUUAUCACGGGAGACACACGGCGGGUGCUAACGUCCGUCGUGAAGAGGGAAACAACCCAGACCGCCAGCUAAGGUCCCAAAGUCAUGGUUAAGUGGGAAACGAUGUGGGAAGGCCCAGACAGCCAGGAUGUUGGCUUAGAAGCAGCCAUCAUUUAAAGAAAGCGUAAUAGCUCACUGGUCGAGUCGGCCUGCGCGGAAGAUGUAACGGGGCUAAACCAUGCACCGAAGCUGCGGCAGCGACACUAUGUGUUGUUGGGUAGGGGAGCGUUCUGUAAGCCUGUGAAGGUGUACUGUGAGGUAUGCUGGAGGUAUCAGAAGUGCGAAUGCUGACAUAAGUAACGAUAAAGCGGGUGAAAAGCCCGCUCGCCGGAAGACCAAGGGUUCCUGUCCAACGUUAAUCGGGGCAGGGUGAGUCGACCCCUAAGGCGAGGCCGAAAGGCGUAGUCGAUGGGAAACAGGUUAAUAUUCCUGUACUUGGUGUUACUGCGAAGGGGGGACGGAGAAGGCUAUGUUGGCCGGGCGACGGUUGUCCCGGUUUAAGCGUGUAGGCUGGUUUUCCAGGCAAAUCCGGAAAAUCAAGGCUGAGGCGUGAUGACGAGGCACUACGGUGCUGAAGCAACAAAUGCCCUGCUUCCAGGAAAAGCCUCUAAGCAUCAGGUAACAUCAAAUCGUACCCCAAACCGACACAGGUGGUCAGGUAGAGAAUACCAAGGCGCUUGAGAGAACUCGGGUGAAGGAACUAGGCAAAAUGGUGCCGUAACUUCGGGAGAAGGCACGCUGAUAUGUAGGUGAAGCGACUUGCUCGUGGAGCUGAAAUCAGUCGAAGAUACCAGCUGGCUGCAACUGUUUAUUAAAAACACAGCACUGUGCAAACACGAAAGUGGACGUAUACGGUGUGACGCCUGCCCGGUGCCGGAAGGUUAAUUGAUGGGGUUAGCGGUAACGCGAAGCUCUUGAUCGAAGCCCCGGUAAACGGCGGCCGUAACUAUAACGGUCCUAAGGUAGCGAAAUUCCUUGUCGGGUAAGUUCCGACCUGCACGAAUGGCGUAAUGAUGGCCAGGCUGUCUCCACCCGAGACUCAGUGAAAUUGAACUCGCUGUGAAGAUGCAGUGUACCCGCGGCAAGACGGAAAGACCCCGUGAACCUUUACUAUAGCUUGACACUGAACAUUGAGCCUUGAUGUGUAGGAUAGGUGGGAGGCUUAGAAGUGUGGACGCCAGUCUGCAUGGAGCCGACCUUGAAAUACCACCCUUUAAUGUUUGAUGUUCUAACGUUGGCCCCUGAUCGGGGUUGCGGACAGUGUCUGGUGGGUAGUUUGACUGGGGCGGUCUCCUCCUAAAGAGUAACGGAGGAGCACGAAGGUUGGCUAAUCCUGGUCGGACAUCAGGAGGUUAGUGCAAUGGCAUAAGCCAGCUUGACUGCGAGCGUGACGGCGCGAGCAGGUGCGAAAGCAGGUCAUAGUGAUCCGGUGGUUCUGAAUGGAAGGGCCAUCGCUCAACGGAUAAAAGGUACUCCGGGGAUAACAGGCUGAUACCGCCCAAGAGUUCAUAUCGACGGCGGUGUUUGGCACCUCGAUGUCGGCUCAUCACAUCCUGGGGCUGAAGUAGGUCCCAAGGGUAUGGCUGUUCGCCAUUUAAAGUGGUACGCGAGCUGGGUUUAGAACGUCGUGAGACAGUUCGGUCCCUAUCUGCCGUGGGCGCUGGAGAACUGAGGGGGGCUGCUCCUAGUACGAGAGGACCGGAGUGGACGCAUCACUGGUGUUCGGGUUGUCAUGCCAAUGGCACUGCCCGGUAGCUAAAUGCGGAAGAGAUAAGUGCUGAAAGCAUCUAAGCACGAAACUUGCCCCGAGAUGAGUUCUCCCUGACUCCUUGAGAGUCCUGAAGGAACGUUGAAGACGACGACGUUGAUAGGCCGGGUGUGUAAGCGCAGCGAUGCGUUGAGCUAACCGGUACUAAUGAACCGUGAGGCUUAACCUUACAACGCCGAAG